AAACUAGGAUUAGAUACCCUAUUAGAAAUAAUUAAAAUUUAGUAGUAAGUGAAAUUCAUGAAACUUAAAUUAAUUGGCGGCUAUUUAAAUUUUUUAGAGGAAUUUAUUCUGUAAAGGAUCCAACACCAAAAUCUUACUUUUGUUAGUUUACAGUUUGUAUAUCUCUAUAUAAAAAUAUAAUAUUAUAUUUUUUAUUUUAUUUAUUAGCUAGAUUUUAGGUAAAGGUGCAGCUUAUACAAAAGAUUGAAAUAAAUUAUAUUAAUUAUUGUUUAACAAUAUGCUUAUGGUAGAUAGGUAUUUAGUAAAAUUUAAAAGUAAAAUUAAUAGAUUAAGUUAAUUUGAAUAUUAAUUUAAUUGUGUACAUAUUGCCCGUCACUCUCUUAUUAGAGAUAAGUCGUAACAUAGUA
This 407-nucleotide ribosomal RNA is filed under the name Euseius nicholsi. RNAcentral describes it as "partial 12S ribosomal RNA". The record is from RNAcentral. Lineage: Eukaryota; Metazoa; Arthropoda; Arachnida; Mesostigmata; Phytoseiidae.